AGAGUUUGAUCCUGGCUCAGAUUGAACGCUGGCGGCAGGCCUAACACAUGCAAGUCGAGCGGCAGCGGGAAAGUAGCUUGCUACUUUUGCCGGCGAGCGGCGGACGGGUGAGUAAUGCCUGGGAAAUUGCCCAGUCGAGGGGGAUAACAGUUGGAAACGACUGCUAAUACCGCAUACGCCCUACGGGGGAAAGCAGGGGACCUUCGGGCCUUGCGCGAUUGGAUAUGCCCAGGUGAGAUUAGCUAGUUGGUGAGGUAAUGGCUCACCAAGGCGACGAUCCCUAGCUGGUCUGAGAGGAUGAUCAGCCACACUGGGACUGAGACACGGCCCAGACUCCUACGGGAGGCAGCAGUGGGGAAUAUUGGACAAUGGGGGCAACCCUGAUCCAGCAAUGCCGCGUGUAUGAAGAAGGUCUUCGGAUUGUAAAGUACUUUCAGCGGGGAGGAAGGCGAUAAGGUUAAUAACCUUGUCGAUUGACGUUACCCGCAGAAGAAGCACCGGCUAACUCCGUGCCAGCCGCCGCGGUAAUAC
This 531-nucleotide ribosomal RNA is filed under the name uncultured bacterium. Its description in RNAcentral is "bacterial SSU rRNA". It matches the Rfam family "Bacterial small subunit ribosomal RNA", at positions 8 to 526 of the family's 1533-position model. The record is from RNAcentral.